Molecule: non-coding RNA, 94 nt
Filed under: human gut metagenome
Description: SAM riboswitch (S box leader)
Rfam family: SAM riboswitch aptamer (S box leader)
About the family: The SAM riboswitch is found upstream of a number of genes which code for proteins involved in methionine or cysteine biosynthesis in Gram-positive bacteria.
Source: RNAcentral
CCUUAUCAAGAGUGGUGGAGGGAACCGGCCCGUUGAAACCCAGCAACCUGUUUUUUCAAGGUGCUAAAUCCGGCGGAUUAUCCGAAAGAUGAGG